RNAcentral lists this ribosomal RNA (274 nucleotides) under uncultured soil bacterium. Its description in RNAcentral is "partial 16S ribosomal RNA". It matches the Rfam family "Bacterial small subunit ribosomal RNA", at positions 26 to 288 of the family's 1533-position model. The record is from RNAcentral.
AGAAUCAACGCUGGCGGCGUGCCUAACACAUGCAAGUCGAACGCGAAAGCCCCGCAAGGGGCAAGUAGAGUGGCAAACGGGUGAGUAACACGUGGGUGACCUGCCUUCGAGCGGGGGAUAACGUCCCGAAAGGGACGCUAAUACCGCAUAACAUCCUGCCUUUGAAGAGGCGGAGAUCAAAGCUGGGGAUCGCAAGACCCGGCACUUGAAGAGGGGCCCGCGCCUGAUUAGCUAGUUGGUGGGUAAUGGCCUACCAAGGCAACGAUCAGUAUCC